AGAGUUUGAUCCUGGCUCAGGACGAACGCUGGCGGCGUGCCUAACACAUGCAAGUCGAGCGAUGAAACCCUUCGGGGUGGAUUAGCGGCGGACGGGUGAGUAACACGUGGGUAACCUACCUCAAAGAGGGGGAUAGCCUCCCGAAAGGGAGAUUAAUACCGCAUAACAUUAGUUUUUCGCAUGAAGAACUAAUUAAAGGAGUAAUCCGCUUUGAGAUGGACCCGCGGCGCAUUAGCUAGUUGGUGAGGUAAAGGCUCACCAAGGCGACGAUGCGUAGCCGACCUGAGAGGGUGAUCGGCCACAUUGGAACUGAGAUACGGUCCAGACUCCUACGGGAGGCAGCAGUGGGGAAUAUUGCACAAUGGGCGAAAGCCUGAUGCAGCAACGCCGCGUGAGUGAUGAAGGCCUUCGGGUUGUAAAGCUCUGUCUUUGGGGACGAUAAUGACGGACCCAAGGAGGAAG
RNAcentral lists this ribosomal RNA (462 nucleotides) under uncultured bacterium. RNAcentral's name for it is "bacterial SSU rRNA". It matches the Rfam family "Bacterial small subunit ribosomal RNA", at positions 8 to 490 of the family's 1533-position model. The record is from RNAcentral.